This 464-nucleotide ribosomal RNA is filed under the name uncultured bacterium. Its description in RNAcentral is "bacterial SSU rRNA". It matches the Rfam family "Bacterial small subunit ribosomal RNA", at positions 28 to 526 of the family's 1533-position model. The record is from RNAcentral.
GACGAACGCUGGCGGCAGGCUUAACACAUGCAAGUCGAACGUGAAGCCCGAGCUUGCUCGGGUGGAAAGUGGCAGACGGGUGAGUAACACGUGGGAAUCUACCUAGAGGUACGGAAUAACUCCGGGAAACUUGAGCUAAUACCGUAUAAGCCGGAAACGGGAAAGAUUUAUCGCCUUUAGAUGAGCCCGCGUUGGAUUAGCUUGUUGGUGAGGUAAAAGCUCACCAAGGCGACGAUCCAUAGCUGGUCUGAGAGGACGAUCAGCCACACUGGAACUGAGACACGGUCCAGACUCCUACGGGAGGCAGCAGUGGGGAAUCUUGCACAAUGGGCGCAAGCCUGAUGCAGCCAUGCCGCGUGAGUGAAGAAGGCCUUAGGGUUGUAAAGCUCUUUCACCAGGGAAGAUAAUGACGGUACCUGGAGAAGAAGCCCCGGCUAACUCCGUGCCAGCCGCCGCCGUAACAC